This 481-nucleotide ribosomal RNA is filed under the name uncultured bacterium. RNAcentral's name for it is "partial 16S ribosomal RNA". It matches the Rfam family "Bacterial small subunit ribosomal RNA", at positions 30 to 507 of the family's 1533-position model. The record is from RNAcentral.
UUGAACGCUGGCGGCAUGAUUUACACAUGCAAGUCGAACGGUAACAGGCCGCAAGGUGCUGACGAGUGGCGAACGGGUGAGUAAUGCAUCGGAACGUGCCCAGUCGUGGGGGAUAACUACUCGAAAGAGUAGCUAAUACCGCAUACGAUCUAUGGAUGAAAGCGGGGGACCGUAAGGCCUCGCGCGAUUGGAGCGGCCGAUGUCAGAUUAGGUAGUUGGUGGGGUAAAGGCUCACCAAGCCAACGAUCUGUAGCUGGUCUGAGAGGACGACCAGCCACACUGGGACUGAGACACGGCCCAGACUCCUACGGGAGGCAGCAGUGGGGAAUUUUGGACAAUGGGCGCAAGCCUGAUCCAGCAAUGCCGCGUGCAGGAAGAAGGCCUUCGGGUUGUAAACUGCUUUUGUACGGAACGAAACGGCUCUGGUUAAUACCCGGGGCUAAUGACGGUACCGUAAGAAUAAGCACCGGCUAACUACGUG